RNAcentral lists this ribosomal RNA (499 nucleotides) under uncultured bacterium. RNAcentral's name for it is "partial 16S ribosomal RNA". It matches the Rfam family "Bacterial small subunit ribosomal RNA", at positions 28 to 507 of the family's 1533-position model. The record is from RNAcentral.
GACGAACGCUGGCGGCGUGCCUAAUACAUGCAAGUCGAGCGGACUGACUGGGAGCUUGCUCUUGUUCGGUCAGCGGCGGACGGGUGAGUAACACGUGGGCAACCUGCCCGCAAGACCGGGAUAACUCCGGGAAACCGGAGCUAAUACCGGAUAACACCGAAGACCGCAUGGUCUUUGGUUGAAAGGCGGCGCAAGCUGCCACUUGCGGAUGGGCCCGCGGCGCAUUAGCUAGUUGGUGAGGUAACUGCUCACCAAGGCGACGAUGCGUAGCCGGCCUGAGAGGGUGACCGGCCACACUGGGACUGAGACACGGCCCAGACUCCUACGGGAGGCAGCAGUAGGGAAUCUUCCGCAAUGGGCGAAAGCCUGACGGAGCGACGCCGCGUGAGCGAAGAAGGCCUUCGGGUCGUAAAGCUCUGUUGUGAGGGACGAAGGAGCGCCGUUUGAAGAAGGCGGCGCGGUGACGGUACCUCACGAGGAAGCCCCGGCUAACUACGUG